This 434-nucleotide ribosomal RNA is filed under the name uncultured bacterium. Its description in RNAcentral is "partial 16S ribosomal RNA". It matches the Rfam family "Bacterial small subunit ribosomal RNA", at positions 29 to 507 of the family's 1533-position model. The record is from RNAcentral.
AGCGAACGCUGGCGGCAGGCCUAACACAUGCAAGUCGAACGAACCUUUCGGGGUUAGUGGCGGACGGGUGAGUAACACGUGGGAACGUGCCUUUAGGUUCGGAAUAACUCAGGGAAACUUGUGCUAAUACCGAAUGUGCCCUUCGGGGGAAAGAUUAAUCGCCUUUAGAGCGGCCCGCGUCUGAUUAGCUAGUUGGUUGAGGUAAUGGCUCACCAAGGCGACGAUCAGUAGCUGGUCUGAGAGGAUGAUCAGCCACAUUGGGGGUGAGACACGGCCCAAACUCAGCCGGGGGGAAGCGGGGGGGAAUCUUGGGAAAGGGGGAAAAACGUGACGCACCAAUGCCGGGGGAAUAAGAAGGUUCUUAGGAUUGAAAAAUUUUUCCAGGGGGGAGGAUAAGGGCGGUCCCGGAAGAAAAAGCCCCGGCAAAGUCCGUC